GGGAAUAUUGGACAAUGGGCGGAAGCCUGAUCCAGCAACGCCGCGUGAGGGAUGACGGCCUUCGGGUUGUAAACCUCUUUCAGCGGGGACGAAGCGCCGAUGAUGGUGGUGACGGUACCCGCAGAAGAAGCACCGGCCAACUACGUGCCAGCAGCCGCGGUAAUACGUAGGGUGCGAGCGUUGUCCGGAAUUAUUGGGCGUAAAGGGUUCGUAGGCGGUUUGUCGCGUCGGGAGUGAAAACACCGGGCUUAACUCGGUGCUUGCUUUCGAUACGGGCAGACUAGAGGUAUGCAGGGGAGAACGGAAUUCCUGGUGUAGCGGUGAAAUGCGCAGAUAUCAGGAGGAACACCGGUGGCGAAGGCGGUUCUCUGGGCAUUACCUGACGCUGAGGAGCGAAAGUGUGGGGAGUGAACAGGAUUAGAUACCCUGGUAGUCCACACCGUAAACGUUGGGCGCUAGGUGUGGGGCCUAUUCCAUGGGUUCCGUGCCGCAGCUAACGCAUUAAGCGCCCCGCCUGGGGAGUACGGCCGCAAGGCUAAAACUCAAAGGAAUUGACGGAAGC
Molecule: ribosomal RNA, 562 nt
Filed under: uncultured bacterium
Lineage: Bacteria
Description: bacterial SSU rRNA
Rfam family: Bacterial small subunit ribosomal RNA
Source: RNAcentral